RNAcentral lists this ribosomal RNA (603 nucleotides) under uncultured bacterium. RNAcentral describes it as "bacterial SSU rRNA". It matches the Rfam family "Bacterial small subunit ribosomal RNA", at positions 143 to 740 of the family's 1533-position model. The record is from RNAcentral.
AUAACCCGCCGAAAGGCGGGCUAAUACCGCGUACGCUUCUGUUCCUUCGGGGACGGAAGGAAAGCUGUGCCGUGGGCAUGGCGCUCAAGGAUGGGCUCACGCCCUAUCAGCUUGUUGGUAGGGUAACGGCCUACCAAGGCAACGACGGGUAGCUGGUCUAAGAGGACGAUCAGCCACACUGGCACUGCGACACGGGCCAGACUCCUACGGGAGGCAGCAGUGAGGAAUAUUGCGCAAUGGGCGAAAGCCUGACGCAGCGACGCCGCGUGGGGGAUGAAGGUCUUCGGAUUGUAAACCCCUUUCAGGAGGGAAGAUGGAACGGGCAACCGUUCGGACGGUACCUCCAGAAGCAGCCACGGCUAACUUCGUGCCAGCAGCCGCGGUAAUACGAGGGUGGCAAGCGUUGUCCGGAUUUACUGGGCGUAAAGGGAGCGUAGGCGGUUGGGUAAGCCCUUUGGGAAAGCUCCCGGCUUAACCGGGAAAGGUCGAAGGGGACUGCCUGGCUAGAGGGUGGGAGAGGAGCGCGGAAUUCCCGGUGUAGCGGUGAAAUGCGUAGAGAUCGGGAGGAAGGCCGGUGGCGAAGGCGGCGCUCUGGAACAUUUC